Sinocyclocheilus grahami is the source of this 278-nucleotide long non-coding RNA. RefSeq lists it as uncharacterized. Lineage: Eukaryota; Metazoa; Chordata; Actinopteri; Cypriniformes; Cyprinidae. The transcript is spliced from 2 exons. The record is from RefSeq and is a predicted model, not a curated record.
ACCUUUAAACUGGUUUUCCAUCUGCCAAUACUCGUUAGAAGAAGACGACACAGUCCUUUCAAACAAAAAUGUCUGCGGUCAUGACGGAGGUGUUGACGAGUACACACGUGGAGAAAAUGAGGAAGAAAAAGCCUCCAAAGCGCUAUUGGGAGGAAACCGAAAACACAGACCAAAGCCAAAGGAGACCAGAGGAAGAAGAAGGCAAAGCUGGGCAGAACCAGAAUGAAUCAACAGUAAAAGAAAGGCCAUUAAAAAGGAAGAAUGAUGAACGUUUGGAG